CAUGUCUGUAGGGAGCAUCCAUAGC
This 25-nucleotide non-coding RNA is filed under the name Cricetulus griseus (Chinese hamster). The record is from RNAcentral. Lineage: Eukaryota; Metazoa; Chordata; Mammalia; Rodentia; Cricetidae.